This is a long non-coding RNA of Esox lucius (northern pike), 305 nucleotides long. RefSeq lists it as uncharacterized. NCBI's taxonomy places the organism in Eukaryota, Metazoa, Chordata, Actinopteri, Esociformes, Esocidae. The record is from RefSeq and is a predicted model, not a curated record. The transcript is spliced from 3 exons.
CAGCUGGUCAGGGCAGCAACAUUGGAUGCACACUACCUGGCACUGCAUGGAUUUAACAAGAAUUAGCCUUUACGAGAGACGAGACCGCUUGUAGGGAGGAAUUGUCGAGCUUUCUGAGUCUCUGCCUGGAAGACCAGCAUUCAGCACUGUUGACAUUGAGACUGGUGUUUUGCAGGAACUAUUUAAGGAAGCUUCCAGUUGAGGACCUGUGAGAACAAGAGUAGACUGACGAGUUUCAGGAGAAAGUUACUGGCCAUUUUGAGCCUGUAAUCGAACACACAAUUGAUCAUUCCCAAGCUCCGGAC